This 509-nucleotide ribosomal RNA is filed under the name Pseudothielavia terricola. RNAcentral describes it as "partial 28S ribosomal RNA". It matches the Rfam family "Eukaryotic large subunit ribosomal RNA", at positions 79 to 601 of the family's 3401-position model. The record is from RNAcentral. Lineage: Eukaryota; Fungi; Ascomycota; Sordariomycetes; Sordariales; Chaetomiaceae.
CGUUCACGGCGUAGUGAAGCGGCAACAGCUCAAAUUUGAAAUCUGGCUUCGGCCCGAGUUGUAAUUUGCAGAGGAAGCUUUAGGCGCGGCACCUCCUGAGUCCCCUGGAACGGGGCGCCACAGAGGGUGAGAGCCCCGUAUAGUUGGAUGCCUAGCCUGUGUAAAGCUCCUUCGACGAGUCGAGUAGUUUGGGAAUGCUGCUCAAAAUGGGAGGUAAAUUUCUUCUAAAGCUAAAUACCGGCCAGAGACCGAUAGCGCACAAGUAGAGUGAUCGAAAGAUGAAAAGCACUUUGAAAAGAGGGUUAAAUAGCACGUGAAAUUGUUGAAAGGGAAGCGCUUGUGACCAGACUUGCGCCGGGCUGAUCAUCCGGUGUUCUCACCGGUGCACUCUGCCCGGCUCAGGCCAGCAUCGGUUCUCGCGGGGGGAUAAAGGCCCUGGGAACGUAGCUCCUCCGGGAGUGUUAUAGCCCGGGGCGCAAUGCCCUCGCGGGGACCGAGGUUCGCGCUCU